This 160-nucleotide ribosomal RNA is filed under the name Nephradenia asparagoides. RNAcentral's name for it is "5.8S ribosomal RNA". It matches the Rfam family "5.8S ribosomal RNA". Rfam says of the family: 5.8S ribosomal RNA (5.8S rRNA) is a component of the large subunit of the eukaryotic ribosome. The record is from RNAcentral. Lineage: Eukaryota; Viridiplantae; Streptophyta; Magnoliopsida; Gentianales; Apocynaceae.
CAAGACUUUCCGCAACGGAUAUCUAGGCUCUUGCAUCGAUGAAGAACGUAGCAAACUGGGAUAGUUGGUGUGAAUUGCAGAAUCCCGGGAACCAUGGAGUCUUUGAACGCAAGUUGCCCCCGAAGCCGUCAGGCCGAGGGCACGUCUGCCUGGGUGUCCC